Molecule: long non-coding RNA, 328 nt
Filed under: Lupinus angustifolius (narrow-leaved blue lupine)
Lineage: Eukaryota; Viridiplantae; Streptophyta; Magnoliopsida; Fabales; Fabaceae
Description: long non-coding RNA (LANG_LNC001796)
Source: RNAcentral
GCCUUGAACUUUGCCCGACUUCGGUACUUCUAAAUGGACAUUUCUUCUUAUUGUGUCCUUCACUCCUACACCACCCACAUUUUUUAAUUUGUUGAGAUUGAGAAUCAUCCAUUUCGUUGUGUAUACGUGUAGUUUUUGGUCUCCCAGUACGGUUCCUACGCAUAAGGGGAUUAGGAAUGAAGGUUGGACCUAAAUAAGGAGGUCAAUAUUCUUCAUUUGCAAUAGGUUGAAACUCAUGUCCAUAAACCUUCUGCAAGUUCUCUAACCUAUAAAUUUGUGAUAUAAACUGCACAUAGUCUAAGUUCAAUGAUGCACAAGUAGCAAUAAC